Molecule: ribosomal RNA, 460 nt
Filed under: uncultured bacterium
Lineage: Bacteria
Description: partial 16S ribosomal RNA
Rfam family: Bacterial small subunit ribosomal RNA
Source: RNAcentral
CCUACGGGUGGCAGCAGUGAGGAAUAUUGGUCAAUGGACGAGAGUCUGAACCAGCCAAGUCGCGUGAAGGAUGACUGCUCCAUGGGUUGUAAACUUCUUUUAUAUGGGAAUAAAAUGUUCCACGUGUGGGAUUUUGUAUGUACCAUAUGAAUAAGGAUCGGCUAACUCCGUGCCCGCAGCCGCGGUAAUACGGAGGAUCCGAGCGUUAUCCGGAUUUAUUGGGUUUAAAGGGUGCGUAGGUGGUUUGUUAAGUCAGUUGUGAAAGUUUGCGGCUCAACCGUAGAAUUGCAGUUGAAACUGGCAGUCUUGAGUACAGGAGAGGUGAGCGGAAUGCGUGGGGUAGCGGUGAAAUGCUUAGAUAUCACGAAGAACUCCGAUUGCGAAGGCAGCUCACUGGACUGCAACUGACACUGAGGCUCGAAAGUGUGGGUAUCGAACAGGAUUAGAUACCCUUGUAGUC